UACGGAGGGCGCAAGCGUUGUUCGGCAUCAUCGGGCGUAAAGCGCGUAUAGGCGGUCUGGUCAGUCGGGUGUGAAAUACCUGAGCUCAACUCCGGAACUGCAUUCGAUACUGCCAGGCUAGAGUCCCGGAGAGGGUGGUGGAAUUCCCGGUGUAGAGGUGAAAUUCGUAGAUAUCGGGAGGAACACCAGCGGCGAAGGAGGCCACCUGGACGGUGACUGACGCUGAGACGCGAAAGAGUGGGGAGCAAAAAGG
Molecule: ribosomal RNA, 253 nt
Filed under: uncultured bacterium
Lineage: Bacteria
Description: partial 16S ribosomal RNA
Rfam family: Bacterial small subunit ribosomal RNA
Source: RNAcentral